AGUGGCGGACGGGUGAGUAACACGUGGGUAACCUGCCCUUAAGUGGGGGAUAACAUUUGGAAACAGAUGCUAAUACCGCAUAGAUCCAAGAACCGCAUGGUUCUUGGCUGAAAGAUGGCGUAAGCUAUCGCUUUUGGAUGGACCCGCGGCGUAUUAGCUAGUUGGUGAGGUAAUGGCUCACCAAGGCGAUGAUACGUAGCCGAACUGAGAGGUUGAUCGGCCACAUUGGGACUGAGACACGGCCCAAACUCCUACGGGAGGCAGCAGUAGGGAAUCUUCCACAAUGGACGCAAGUCUGAUGGAGCAACGCCGCGUGAGUGAAGAAGGCUUUCGGGUCGUAAAACUCUGUUGUUGGAGAAGAAUGGUCGGCAGAGUAACUGUUGUCGGCGUGACGGUAUCCAACCAGAAAGCCACGGCUAACUACGUGCCAGCAGCCGCGGUAAUACGUAGGUGGCAAGCGUUAUCCGGAUUUAUUGGGCGUAAAGCGAGCGCAGGCGGUUUUUUAAGUCUGAUGUGAAAGCCCUCGGCUUAACCGAGGAAGCGCAUCGGAAACUGGGAAACUUGAGUGCAGAAGAGGACAGUGGAACUCCAUGUGUAGCGGUGAAAUGCGUAGAUAUAUGGAAGAACACCAGUGGCGAAGGCGGCUGUCUGGUCUGUAACUGACGCUGAGGCUCGAAAGCAUGGGUAGCGAACAGGAUUAGAUACCCUGGUAGUCCAUGCCGUAAACGAUGAAUGCUAGGUGUUGGAGGGUUUCCGCCCUUCAGUGCCGCAGCUAACGCAUUAAGCAUUCCGCCUGGGGAGUACGACCGCAAGGUUGAAACUCAAAGGAAUUGACGGGGGCCCGCACAAGCGGUGGAGCAUGUGGUUUAAUUCGAAGCAACGCGAAGAACCUUACCAGGUCUUGACAU
This 908-nucleotide ribosomal RNA is filed under the name Lacticaseibacillus paracasei. Its description in RNAcentral is "bacterial SSU rRNA". It matches the Rfam family "Bacterial small subunit ribosomal RNA", at positions 94 to 987 of the family's 1533-position model. The record is from RNAcentral. Lineage: Bacteria; Bacillati; Bacillota; Bacilli; Lactobacillales; Lactobacillaceae.